GCGCCUGUAGCUCAGUCGGAUAGAGCGACUGGCUUCGAACCAGUAGGUCGCAGGUUCGAGUCCUGCCAGGCGCG
This 74-nucleotide transfer RNA is filed under the name Omnitrophica bacterium RIFCSPLOWO2_12_FULL_50_11. Its description in RNAcentral is "tRNA-Arg". It matches the Rfam family "tRNA". From Rfam's summary of the family: Transfer RNA (tRNA) molecules are approximately 80 nucleotides in length. The record is from RNAcentral. Lineage: Bacteria; Pseudomonadati; Candidatus Omnitrophota.